UACGGGGGGGGCAAGCGUUGUUCGGAAUCACUGGGCGUAAAGGGCGCGUAGGCGGCCUGGUAAGUAGGGGGUGAAAUCCUGCGGCUUAACCGCAGGGCUGCCUUCUAAACUGUCAGGCUUGAGCACAGUAGAGGCAGGUGGAAUUCCCGGUGUAGCGGUGGAAUGCGUAGAGAUCGGGAAGAACAUCAGUGGCGAAGGCGGCCUGCUGGGCUGUUGCUGACGCUGAGGCGCGACAGCGUGGGGAGCAAACAGG
Molecule: ribosomal RNA, 253 nt
Filed under: uncultured bacterium
Lineage: Bacteria
Description: partial 16S ribosomal RNA
Rfam family: Bacterial small subunit ribosomal RNA
Source: RNAcentral